This 253-nucleotide ribosomal RNA is filed under the name uncultured bacterium. RNAcentral's name for it is "partial 16S ribosomal RNA". It matches the Rfam family "Bacterial small subunit ribosomal RNA", at positions 524 to 776 of the family's 1533-position model. The record is from RNAcentral.
UACGGAGGGUGCAAGCGUUGUCCGGAUUCAUUGGGUUUAAAGGGUGCGUAGGCGGGCCUAUAAGUCAGUGGUGAAAUCCAGCGGCUCAACCGUUGAAUUGCCAUUGAUACUGUAGGUCUUGAGUAGAGCCGAGGUGGCCGGAAUGUGUGGUGUAGCGGUGAAAUGCAUAGAUAUCACACAGAACACCUAUUGCGAAGGCAAGUCACUGGGCUUUUACUGACGCUGAGGCACGAAAGCGUGGGGAUCAAACAGG